Spea bombifrons (plains spadefoot toad) is the source of this 72-nucleotide small nucleolar RNA. NCBI's taxonomy places the organism in Eukaryota, Metazoa, Chordata, Amphibia, Anura, Pelobatidae. The record is from RefSeq and is a predicted model, not a curated record.
UGGGGCAUGAUGCAGAACCAGAAAUCUGAUUUUUCUAAAUGAAGGUUAUCGUAUUCAUACUGUCUGACCCCG